AUAAUAUUUUUUAAUUCACGCGCAGUCAUUUUUUUCUUUCUAUAAAAUAACAUAUUUAAUAAUCUCGAAGAGAUUGAAAUUAAAUAUUAUAAAAAUUUAAUUAUUCAGAUUAAGUGUAACUAUCUUUCAACAUGAGCAAGACAAGAGAUGAGUGGAUUAAAUGGUUCACAAGCGAUCAAGAAAUUCAAAACUACCAUGUGGGCGACGACACUGUGGAAUUUCGAGGGUAUGUCUUAUGUGUCGAGGGUACAUGCUAUAUUAGAACAACAUAUGAUCCGCGUACUCCUCUCUUUAAAAUGUACGCCAGUAACGGCAAGUCCCAGUGAAUAAAAAUCACAUUUUGGGGCAAAAAUGCCACUAAGUGGUCUCCAAUGGUCAGUGAGCGCUCGAUUGUUCGUAUUCAAUGCGCCAAGGCGGGCGUUUUCAACAAUCAAUAGAGAGGAUCAGUUGUUCCAACUGCCAGUAUUGAAUUAACUAUACAGGCUAAUUCAGUUCUUACUUUUGAAGCCGAGAAGUUUUUGGACAUUACAACUGUCAAUCCCGUGCCAGUCGUUUAUGAGGAAGUCUUAUUAAAAGACAUCGCUGCUCAUGAAGAUAAAGAAAUAAAGGUGCAAGGUUGGAUUAAGGUACCGUUUAGACAAGUAACUCACGGUGGAGGUAGCCGUGGAUGUGGGACUAUUGUCGACCACGAAUGGCGUAUCAGAGUAAUCGUCCGCCUAUUUACCGACAAUCCCAAAUUGGUAUUAGGAACACGUGUCUCUGUCAGCGGUGUUUAUACUUCAAACGAGGGUUCUUCUCUAACUUGCGACAACAUCAAGAAUGUAGAGAUCAUGCCCGAGGAAAAUAUUCUAUCGGAAGAUGAAUUAUUUACGAUGGGUUUUAUCACACCGAAACGCAAAAUAGAAGAUUCUACUGAUGAACCCUCGACGAAAAGAUCACCUUUUGAUGAGUAACUCGAAAGUAAAGUUAUAUAAUUUUUUUUUUAAAACAAAUUACGUGACCGGUUUAAAAUUAAAUAAUUUAUUGGAAUAGGACAAGUUAUUAUUUAAUUUAAAAAAAAAAAAUUCGCAUUAAAAGUGUAAUUUAAGUUGGUCCUAAUAGCAGUUAAUCUUCGUGAUAAUAGUUAAUAAAACGUGUAUGUAUUAAUUAGCUGGGAUUUUAAUUAAGAACAAAAGUGACCUGAUUAACUUAAAGUGAUAUUAGAAACUAAAGUGAUUUUAAAGUGUAAUUGCAUAA
Molecule: long non-coding RNA, 1236 nt
Filed under: Cotesia glomerata
Lineage: Eukaryota; Metazoa; Arthropoda; Insecta; Hymenoptera; Braconidae
Description: uncharacterized LOC123273748, transcript variant X2
Source: RNAcentral